CACACAGGUGAGACAGGAACCUAGGAAAGUGAGCUAAGAGCCCUAAUGGGUUUGGAGGAGCUCAAGAGAAAGGUAGACGAGCUUGGUAAAAGGACAGCUAAAAAGAUAUUUCGGAAGAGCUAGCAGUUCCGUUGCAGAAUCUGGGGGUGUGUGAGUAGACAUUUUGUAAGUGGUUAAGAAAGUAAAAUUGCCUGACUGAGCUAGCAGGUUCUCCGAUGUCUUUGUGGGUACAAAUGUCAGAUAAAUUUAAAAGGCUAAAUAUUACAGACGCAGUCCUCGGUGGGCGUUUGCUGUUGACAUGUCUACAGUAGAGUCAAUGCUGGAUCAACGCUUCAGACCCGUGAGAGUGGCAGAGCCCUCCCCAAGUCAGACUCAGAGAAAUAGCAAAGCGUCCCCUGGUCCAAGUGUGAGUGUUUAGGAACAAUCGACAGGAAGCACAGCGUCUGUAGCUUCCUCCUCCCUGAAGACUGCAGCCUGAGACCACCCCCUAGCAGAAACUUCCUACCAAGACUAGCUAACCGCCCUUUCUUGUGCUUUACUUAAUAAACCCCAGCCAGCCUCAAGGCUUGGUUACAGGUGCCCUGCAUCUCACUGAGUACAAUCCACCUCCGAAACCCCAGCUUUUCUAUCAGUGUGUCUGUCGUGACUUCAGUGUCUGUCAUCUCUUCAUUCCCAAGGCGCCCUAAGUCAAGUUUCCAGGACCAACCGGAUUCCAGGUGCGGCAACCUAAAGCACCCAAAAUGAUUGGAAGACGUUUGCUGUUCGUGACGUCAUGAAGCCCUGGGGCAUUUCCCCACUCUCACGCCAGCUGCGCCGGGACUUCACUUGUCCUUGUGGGCUCAAGAGCGUCUGUGCGAAACCUGCUGGGUGUCUGUGAGUUUCCAGUUCCUAAAGUCCUCUGCUGGCUAGUGUUAUGACAACCUGACCCAGAGUCAUCUUGGAAGAGAACAUGUCCCUAUUAGAUGGGACUGUGGGCAAGUGCAUUUUCUUUAUUGGUGAUUGAUCCUGAUGGGACCAACUCAUCGUGAGCUAUUCCACUUCUGGGCUUGUGGUUCUAGAAGCUACAAGAAAGCAGGCUGGCCAGGCGGUACUGGCCCAGGUUUGGGAAGGAAAGAAGGAAGGAAGGAAAGAAAGAAGGAAGGAAAGAAAGAAGGAAAGAAGGAAAGAAGGAAGGAAAGAAAGAAGGAAAGAAGGAAAGAAGGAAAAAAGGAAAGAAGGAAGCCGAGCAAAUCUUGAGGAGCAAGCCAACAAACAACAUCCUUCUAUGGCUUCUCUGCAUCAGUUCCUGCCUCUGUGUUCUUACCCUGACCUCUGAGUAAUAGACUACAGGCUGCAAGAUGAAAUAAACCUCUCCAGGUUGCUUUUGGUCAUUGUGUUUUGUCACAGCAAUAGAAACUCCAACUUAGACAAACCCAAACCAAGGAGAAAAUAUAGUAUCCACUCAUUUGGGUUAAAUCACAAAGCAGGCUUCAACUCAUGUCUACUUGAUUAUAGGCAACAGCACUGUCUCCAGUAUUCUUAGACUAAGUCUAGGCUGCAAAACAUCUGCCAUGCUAGGAACACCUGUCGUCCUAGGAACACCUGCCGUGCUGGGAACAUCUGCCAAGCUGGAACACCUGCUAUGUUGGGAACACCUGCCGUGCUAGGAACACCUGCCGUGCUAGGAACACCUGCCAAGCUGGAACACCUGCCAUGCUGGGAACACCUGCCAUGCUAGGAACACCUGCCGUGCUAGGAACACCUGCCAUGCUAGGAACACCUGCCGUGCUAGGAACACCUGCCAAGCUGGAACACCUGCCAUGCUAGGAACACCUGCCAAGCUGGAACACCUGCCAUGCUGGGAACACCUGUCAUGCUGGGAACACCUGCCAAGCUGGAACACCUGCUAUGUUGGGAACACCUGCCAUGCUAGGAACACCUGCCAUGGGUCAGGACUGUGCAGUCUCCCCUGGAAUUUGCCAUUCCUGUAAUGAUAGAUUGCCUUUCUAUGGAAUAGCUGCAGAUUAAAAGGAGACCAUGAAGAGAUCACAGCUUAUUAAGGGACUGGUGGAUCUGGGGCAAAGUCCUUACCUUACAUGCAUGAAGGAACCUGGGUUUGAUCCCUGGCACUGAAAAACAAUGACAACAUCAUAAACCCACUGGUGUCAGAGGAGACAUGUUGGGGAAGCCAUAAGAGAGAGCUUAGUCUGUGGAAGGACAUAUGUCCCAAAAAUAAAGAUUAGUGUGGUGGUUUAAAUAGCUAUGGCCCCCAUAGACUCGAGUAUUUGAAUCUUUGGCCCAUAGGGAAGGGUGCUCUUAUGAGGUGUGGCCUUACUAUAGUAGAUGUGGCCUUGUUGGAGAAGUGUGUCACUGUGAGGGCAGGCUUCAAGAGGUAUUAUACAUAUGCUCAAGCAAUACCCAGUGUGACAGACAGUCUUCUGUGGCCUGAGGAUCGAGAUGGAGAACUCUCGGCUCCUCUAGCACCAGUCUGCCAUGCCUCCUGUCAUGAUGAUGUACUGAACCUCUGAAACUGUAAGCCAGCCCCAAUUAAAUGUUUUCCUUAUAAGAGUUGCCUUGGUUAUGGUGUCUCCACACAGCAAUGUUAACACAAUUAGUUCGAUUAUUAUUUUGUUUUGUUUGUUUAUAGAGUUUUUGUUGUUGUUCUUUUCAGUUUAUUUUUCUUUGGGGGGGGCAGGAGGGAUCUCAUGCUACCGAGGCUGUCCUCAAGUUGCCAUGUGGCUGAGGGAUAGUCUUCAAUUACUGCCUGCUGCCUCUACCUUCACGGGCUGGGGUUCAGGUUUGUACACAGAACCCCUAAUUCCUUCCUGUCCCUCCCACCCACUUUUCUUUUCCCAACUUCAGGAGCUCUUCCUCUUUAAAACAAACAAAGUGGACUCGGGGCUGCCUGUAAUGUGCUCGAGGAGAUUCUCAGGAUUCCCAUCCCUGAAGAAAGCUGGUUUCCCUCCCACUGCAGGCAUCAGUGGCUGAUGGUUCCUCAGCCAGGGUGGGCCAUCCUGCAACAUUCUACGUUGUCCCGGCUAGCCUUAAAUCCCCAAAUGUCCUCCUGCCCCAGCUUCCCUAGUGCCACCAAAUCUGAAUGGAAUCAAUAUGGAAGUAAAUUGCAAAUCCCUGCCUUACUAUCUACUGAAAGACCCCCGGAGAGGACCUUUCCCUCAGGAGGAGUCCCAAGCGCCCAAUGACCGAGCCGAGUCCACUCGGAUGCAAUCAGCAAGAGGGUUUAUUGGAAAACACAGGUACCUGCGGGCACACAGUCUCUUCGGAGGACUUGCGCGCCCAGCAGCUCCAGCAUGGGGCUUUUAUAGGGAUUGGGGAAGCAGAAGCGGGCGUACAGAAGCAGAUGCAUAGUUACGGGGACUGGUGGAUUCAAACGAGGCACAUAGACAUGUUCACAUAUGAUUGGCUAUUUCACAUGAUGAGGUAAUAAGGUAUAGCUACACACAUUGGCAGGUUUUGGGGCGUCCUGGAUGUCGGGGGCUGGGGGCUUAUCUCUUCCUGCCAGGUGGCCUGUGAGUCAGAUCCGGUACUCCUGGUCUGUUCUGCAUUCCUUUCCUUUUAUGGUCUGUUAGUUCUAGCGGCAGGGCGGGGCUGCCUGGACUUGCUUUUCACAGUGUUUAGCCCUGAGUCUGAAUUUAAAACUUAUUCUUUUAACUUCAUAUUUUUAAACCUCAAAUCUGUAUAAUUUUCCUUUCACUACUUCUUUAUGGAUCUAAUAUCAACUUAAAAUGAUGCUUAAAGGGUGGAGAGCCCUUGAUGCCGCUUCAAGGAUAUUGGCAAGAGCAUUUACAUUGGGCUAGGACAAGGCUCAAGAUGAAUACAGCAGAGGGUUGUAUUGUAUUCCUUGUAUCUUGGUCGUCCUGAUAAACCCCUAGACACAGUGACCAUGGGACUUUGUUUAUUGCCUUGACUACUACUACUACUACUACUACUACUACUACUACUACUACUACUACUACUACUGUUUGUUCCCUGACUACUUUGUCUUUGGGAGCUGACCCUAUUCUUUGCAUGUACCUGGAGUGAUAAAAAAAAGCAGCCUGGGAAAAAACAAACCUGAUUCAGCACUGGCUGGAGUCAUGUUAUAAUGUUGUCUAAUUGUCUCUUUUUAUUUUCAUCCUCAUUCCCUCCCUCGAGACCCUGUUGACUGGUUGAGCUGGCUUGGUCAUUAAAGCUGUAACAUACAUCCAA
This is a non-coding RNA of Rattus norvegicus (Norway rat), 4185 nucleotides long. Lineage: Eukaryota; Metazoa; Chordata; Mammalia; Rodentia; Muridae. The record is from RefSeq and is a predicted model, not a curated record.